GAUGAACGCUGGCGGCGUGCCUAAUACAUGCAAGUCGAGCGAACAGACGAGGAGCUUGCUCCUUUGACGUUAGCGGCGGACGGGUGAGUAACACGUGGGUAACCUACCUAUAAGACUGGGAUAACUUCGGGAAACCGGAGCUAAUACCGGAUAAUAUUCCGAACCGCAUGGUUCGAUAGUGAAAGAUGGCUUUGCUAUCACUUAUAGAUGGACCUGCGCCGUAUUAGCUAGUUGGUAAGGUAACGGCUUACCAAGGCAACGAUACGUAGCCGACCUGAGAGGGUGAUCGGCCACACUGGAACUGAGACACGGUCCAGACUCCUACGGGAGGCAGCAGUAGGGAAUCUUCCGCAAUGGGCGAAAGCCUGACGGAGCAACGCCGCGUGAGUGAUGAAGGUCUUCGGAUCGUAAAACUCUGUUAUUAGGGAAGAACAAACGUGUAAGUAACUGUGCACGUCUUGACGGUACCUAAUCAGAAAGCCACGGCUAACUACGUG
RNAcentral lists this ribosomal RNA (497 nucleotides) under uncultured bacterium. Its description in RNAcentral is "partial 16S ribosomal RNA". It matches the Rfam family "Bacterial small subunit ribosomal RNA", at positions 28 to 507 of the family's 1533-position model. The record is from RNAcentral.